Non-coding RNA from Camellia sinensis, 1928 nucleotides. NCBI's taxonomy places the organism in Eukaryota, Viridiplantae, Streptophyta, Magnoliopsida, Ericales, Theaceae. The record is from RefSeq and is a predicted model, not a curated record.
CUAAUCUUUUUUAAUAUACUCUAGGAAGCAACUGAAUUAGCUAUAUACAUACCAAUCACCUUUCCAGAUUAUUUCUAGAUAAAUCAUAAUUCCAAUAUUCAAAAAUCAUCCCAUAAGAAUGUCUACUCCUACAGUAUUAACUCAAUUACUCAUCCCUAGCAAACUCUAAGAUCCUGAAAAUAAUAAUAAUAAUAAUAAUAAUAAUAAUAAUUUGAAUCAUCAACUAAGAAAAUAUUAGGUGUAUUAUAUAAAAAGAUUUUGUAUAUACAAAUUGUGCAUAAAUUCAAUUUUAAAAAAUUUGGUUUGUUUGUUUACUUAAUUUGUGUGCGUGUGUGUGUUUAAAAAAAAACGGUGUUCCUAUUUUUGUGUUUAUGUGUUUAUAAUUUAUUAUGUUUUCGUAUAAUUUAUUAUGUGUUCGUAUUUUGGUUUGUUUGUUUGUUUGCACUAUCACAAAUGUUCGCAAUUUUUUAGACUUAACCAACAAGAAAGAGGUCGGUAAUUUUGUGUUCGUAAUUUAUUGCACUGUAGAUCGGUAGAUCGGUCGACGCAACCAACAAGAAAGAGGUCGGUAUCCUCUUCAAAAUUUUCCUCCCUUUUCUACGCAUAUCUAAGGUUUCUCUCUUUGUUUUAUGUGUGUCUCUUUGUGCCUUUAGAGAUCGGUAUCUAAGGUUUCUUUGUUUUAUGUUCUGUAAAAUGCCUCAAAAUUUUUAUUUGGGUUUUCGUUGGGUGUCUAAUUUUUUAUGUGAUUUGUUUCUCAUUCGGGUUUGAUUGUGUGAUUUAUAUGAUUUAUGUGAUUUAUGUGAUUUAUAUUAUGUGAUUUUUAUGUGAUUUAUAUUAUGUGAACCUAUUGUGUGAUUUCUGGUAAAAUUUUAUGUGAACCUAUAUUAUGUGAACCUAUUAUGUGAUUUCUAAUUUACAAAAUGGGUUCAGAUUAUCAAGUAAAUUAAAUAAGGAAUGUUGAAAAAAAUUUGAUUGUGGAGUGAAUUAUUUUGUUGUUCCAAAUUUUAUACCGUUGGGUUUAGUGAUUGUGGAGUGGAUUUGAUUUUAUCUAUAAUUAAAUUUUAUUGUUCUUUAAUUCUGUAUUUGUGAAAGGAGAUUAUCUGAAGUACGGACCGAGCAUGGCAGAACUGAGCCUGGGUGUUCUUAUAGAUAUUAUUGAUGAGGAAUGGAUGCAAGACAGUCUUUCUGAUGAUGAUCUUGCAUUACCACCAGUGAUGAUUUCGCGAACUAACGACACUGAAGAGUCAAGCAUCAGAAUCUGGUGAGGAGAAUAGUUCUAAAGGCUCCAUCAAUAGAGGGAAUGGAAGGUGAGGGAGAGAUUAAUCGAAUGAUCAAACUUUUGGUUGAGGAAAAAGUUCCCAUUUGCUAAACUUUUGAACUGGGGUUGAAUGCUCUCAGUUGGAUCUCAGUUGUGAGUUUAUGAAAUCUUUCUUUUGAGAUUGUGGUUUGAAGAUUUUUGAAAUGAUGCUCCUUGCAUUACGGUGCCAAAGAUAUCCGUGAAGGUUAUCAAAGAAAGAGCAUUUUUCUUGGUCAGUAAAUCUCUCUUUUUCCCUCUAUAUGGAUGUGUCUCUGAAACAUUUUUUUUUAUAUAUAGUAGUUUCUCAUGUGAACCCCACGUGUUUGGAUGCAUAAAAUAUUUGCUAUAUAGAUUAAAAAAUAGAGAGGGUGUAUGGGUGUGGGAUGAGGGAGAGUAGAGAUAGAGGGAGGCAAAAAGUGCAAAUAAAUGAAUAAAAUGGUGUGAGGCAAAUUGCAUCUUGAAAAGUUAUCUACCUAUGUGCUGAAUUGCUGAUAAAAAAAAAAAAAAAAACCUAUGUGCUGAAUUCCAUGUCUCAAAAAGAUUGACAUUCUCAAUUUUAGAAAUUAAAUAUAUUUGCUGAAUCAUUAGUGCUUGAUGAUUUUUGCUUUUGCAACUAUUAAAGAUAAUGCUU